RNAcentral lists this ribosomal RNA (368 nucleotides) under uncultured Glomeromycotina. RNAcentral's name for it is "SSU rRNA". It matches the Rfam family "Eukaryotic small subunit ribosomal RNA", at positions 569 to 942 of the family's 1831-position model. The record is from RNAcentral. Lineage: Eukaryota; Fungi; Glomeromycota.
AGCAGCCGCGGUAAUUCCAGCUCCAAUAGCGUAUAUUAAAGUCGUUGCAGUUAAAAAGCUCGUAGUUGAAUUUCGGGGUCAGUAGGUUGGUCGUGCCACCGGUACGUACUGGUCUCACUGAUUCCUCCUUCCUGAUGAGCUGUAAUGCCAUUAAUUUGGUGUUGCAGGGAAUCUGGACUGUUACUUUGAAAAAUUAGAGUGUUUAAAGCAGGCUAACGCUUGAAUACAUUAGCAUGGAAUAAUGAAAUAGGACGUUCGAUCCUAUUUUGUUGGUUUCUAGGAUUGACGUAAUGAUUAAUAGGGAUAGUUGGGGGCAUUAGUAUUCAAUUGUCAGAGGUGAAAUUCUUGGAUUUAUUGAAGACUAACUA